This is a small nuclear RNA of Rattus rattus (black rat), 105 nucleotides long. Lineage: Eukaryota; Metazoa; Chordata; Mammalia; Rodentia; Muridae. The record is from RefSeq and is a predicted model, not a curated record.
GCUCUCUUUGGCACAACAUAUACUAAAAUUAGAAUGAUACAGAGAAGAUUAGCAUGGUCCAUGGGCAAGGGUGACAGGCAAAUUCAUAAAGCAUUCCAUAAUUUU